Long non-coding RNA from Carassius gibelio (silver crucian carp), 1242 nucleotides. RefSeq lists it as uncharacterized. The record is from RefSeq and is a predicted model, not a curated record. Lineage: Eukaryota; Metazoa; Chordata; Actinopteri; Cypriniformes; Cyprinidae. The transcript has 3 exons.
AACAGAUAUAGUACCACACAGACUGCUUAAGACAGCAGAGGGUGGGCUGACUUUGAUUGGCACACCGAAGCAAUGCGCGCGCGUCGGGUGUUUGUGGCACGAAGUUAGAACCUGUAAUUUAAAGAUUUAAGAACUAGACGUUUUUUAUUUAUUUUUAUUUAUUAGAUGUUUUUUAUUAUAAAUAAAUAGCUUACAUAAGAUAGCCUGUAUAAAAUAAAUGUUUGUGAAAACUUUUAUUGUUGCCGCUUUUUCGGAAAUGAUCCAUUUGCUCAUAAUUACGAUAACUUUUCAAGUCUUUUGUGAAUUCAGAAAUGCUUCCAAACAUCCCAAAACUCUCGCGGUGCUGCUCCAGACAGGACCUCUUGAACUGCCUCUUGAACUUGAAAAUGCUGGCGUUUCUGACACAUGAGCAUCCCACAGGGCGACUGCUUGAGAAGAGUCAUUAGCGGGCGUUACAUCGGCCGACUUUACAACUAACACCAUGAGGGCCCGAGCAGAAAUGUGAUGAUGCCUCAGGUUCACUGGUGCUGACUGAUAUGGAGAAAGAGAAAGAGAGAAUCCCCACACCUCUGACACCUGUGUGCUGAAAGUUGUCUGGAUCACCUGGCUCCGCGACCAUGGCAUGAAGCAAGGGGGUGAAACCUGAGAGUGGAGAUCCGAAAGGUUGGAAGUCAUAGACACCGUGACGAGCCACGGUCGGAUCUGCUGGAAGGAAGCCUUGAAGUGUGUCCUGCUCAACAUGAAAGCAUUGGUUUUGGCUGUGAAUGAACAUCAAAGCAAAUCUUCUUGAAGGUCAUUUUAAUGGAUCCUUACGUUCCUAUCAAUUCUGAGCCAAAAGCUUAAUUUUGAAGCUAAAUUUGGAUUUUAAAGCAUUUUUGUAACAAAAAUUUGUAUUUUUCUUUUCUUUACCUGUACAAAAACAUGAUUCUUAAAGGAACAUUCAGUUAUUUUUAUGUUGCACUAUGCUGUCAUCUUGGGUUUAUAGUGGCACCUAGUGGUUUGGAUGAAGCAUUAUGCAAAAAUGUUAAAAAAUGUAUACAUUUUAAGUGUCAUUACAAUUUUUUUUUUACCUGCUUUAAUUAUGUGAAUGCUCUGUGCAAAAUUAUUUGAAACGGAACACAGGUAAAUAUCAUUCCUCUACAAUUCUUAAAUUGGAACGCCCAUAAAUCAUGUAGUAUCUGUAAUAAACUGAUACUGUAGCUGGUAUGUUGACGUUCGCAAUACAAGUGAACAUUGUGUGCA